This 473-nucleotide ribosomal RNA is filed under the name uncultured bacterium. RNAcentral describes it as "bacterial SSU rRNA". It matches the Rfam family "Bacterial small subunit ribosomal RNA", at positions 335 to 801 of the family's 1533-position model. The record is from RNAcentral.
ACUCCUACGGGAGGCAGCAGUAGGGAAUCUUCCACAAUGGGCGGCAAGCCUGAUGGAGCAACACCGCGUGAGUGAAGAAGGGUUCGGCUCGUAAAGCUCUGUUGUUAAAGAAGAACACGUAUGAGAGUAACUGUUCAUACGUUGACGGUAUUUAACCAGAAAGUCACGGCUAACUACGUGCCAGCAGCCGCGGUAAUACGUAGGUGGCAAGCGUUAUCCGGAUUUAUUGGGCGUAAAGAGAGUGCAGGCGGUUUUCUAAGUCUGAUGUGAAAGCCUUCGGCUUAACCGGAGAAGUGCAUCGGAAACUGGAUAACUUGAGUGCAGAAGAGGGUAGUGGAACUCCAUGUGUAGCGGUGGAAUGCGUAGAUAUAUGGAAGAACACCAGUGGCGAAGGCGGCUACCUGGUCUGCAACUGACGCUGAGACUCGAAAGCAUGGGUAGCGAACAGGAUUAGAUACCCUGGUAGGAUAGCG